CUUCGGUGAGUUCGCAUGGUUACGAGAUC
RNAcentral lists this ribosomal RNA (29 nucleotides) under Klossiella equi. Its description in RNAcentral is "small subunit ribosomal RNA". The record is from RNAcentral. Lineage: Eukaryota; Apicomplexa; Klossiellidae.